GAUGAACGCUGGCGGCGUGCCUAACACAUGCAAGUCGAGCGAACAGACGAUGAGAUUUCGCUCUUGACGUUAGCGGCGGACGGGUGAGUAACAAGUGGAUAACCUACUUAUAUUUCGGGGAUAACUUCGGGAAACCGGUUACAAUACCGGAUCAUAUAUUCAACCGCAGGGUUCAAUAGAUAAUGACGGCUUUGCCGUCACUUUUAGACGAUUCCGCGCCGGAUUAGCUAGUUGGUAAGGUAACGGCUUACCAAGGCAACGAUGCGUAGCUGACCUGAGAGGGUGAUCGGCCACACUGGAACUGAGACACGGUCCAGACUCCUACGGGAGGCAGCAGUGGGGAAUCUUCGGCAAUGGGCGAAAGCCUGACGGAGCAACGCCGCGUGAGUGAUGAAGGUCUUCGGAUCGUAAAGCUCUGUUAUUGGGGAAGAACAACUGUGGAAGUAUAUAUGCACGUCUUGACGGUACCUAAUCAGAAAGCAACGGCUAACUACGUG
This 497-nucleotide ribosomal RNA is filed under the name uncultured bacterium. RNAcentral's name for it is "partial 16S ribosomal RNA". It matches the Rfam family "Bacterial small subunit ribosomal RNA", at positions 28 to 507 of the family's 1533-position model. The record is from RNAcentral.